Long non-coding RNA from Danaus plexippus (monarch butterfly), 3470 nucleotides. RefSeq lists it as uncharacterized. The transcript is spliced from 2 exons. The record is from RefSeq and is a predicted model, not a curated record. Lineage: Eukaryota; Metazoa; Arthropoda; Insecta; Lepidoptera; Nymphalidae.
ACGUCCGCCGCCACGAGCCCCCCGACGGACACGCGCGUCCCCGUCACCAGUGCCGCCAGCACCAGACACGCUCCCGUCACCACGGAACACCACAGCAGUAGCGGCUAACACGUGGACAUACAUACCACACGGAUCUCACCCUCCGUCCAAAUCUCUCCACUAGAUACAGCGACAGGGCGGAAGUGAGGAGCUGCACUGUCCCCAGCAGCACCGCGUGUCGAGCCGGUGAUAACAACUCGUCUGUUACAACUCCGGCCGAUAGAUCAUGUAAUGUUGGGGAUAAUGCUGGAGCAGAAAUAUUAGAAGAAUUGCUUGUCAAAUUCUUUACAAUUACUUCGUUAGUCGUCGGCCAUAUUAAAUGUUUCGAAUCGUUCAUAAUUUCUGUUUUCAGUGGGGUGGUCGGUGGUACCGAGUCUGUCAGUCUAGUUUCGUCUCUCGCAAUGACGAACAUUCUCUCUGCGUACUGCAGGAUGGCCAGCACGCCGCAGACCUCUUGUCCGAUGACUGUUAUUGUACCGAUGAUGAAAGCACGGCGACGUUGACGAUCACUCACUGCCAAAAAAUAUCUAUUUAGUACUGUUAUGAAUAUAUUAAAACUUAUAUGGACCAAAAUUUCAUCGACGCAGGAAGAAUUAUUAGGGAGUACCUGAAGUAGAAGAAGCGAUAAGAAAAGUAGGAAAAAAAUGACAAAAAGUGUAUAAAAAUGAAAAUCAGUCUCCAAUGAAGUUCUGUCAUCAAUGUGAUUUUAUAACUCACACAUUUGUCUGGCAAGUCGAAGCGGAGAUCGCACUUCUUCAGUUGGCGGUAAGGCUGCAAAUGCGUGGAUCAGUUCUGGAUGAUCAGAAGACACACCACGAAGACGAGCGAGGGACAGGCGAGCCUCCUUCACAUAACGAAGGAAUUUGAAAAUGGUUUUGCUGGCGUGAUUCAGAAGAUGCCACACUAGAGAUACGUGUUUCCUGAACCUUAAUAUUGUUGAGUGAUAUAGGUUUUGUUGUAACAAUAAAAACUUUAACAGAGAAACCUAAACCAAAUGUUUAUUAAUUCUAAUUAAUUUCAGAAAAGUGCUCUAUUUGGUACUUUUAUUUUUGUAAGUGAUUAAUUUAUGUAAUGUCUUGCCUCCAUUUUUCCGUUAGCGGCUAAGAAGGACGGUGAUUCAGGAACGAAAGUGAACGCAACGCAAUGAACUAACGCCAGUGACAGGCAACAAUACAGCACUGUCCUGGAAAUAUAUUUAAUGGUUCAUGAAUUGAUAUAACAUACAAAAAAACUGAAAACAUAGUAGAGUCCAAAACAACUUGUUGACUGGAAAAAUCUUUUAACCUGAAAAAGCAUUAAGUUUACUUGUGAGGUACGGCCGCGUCCGCUGCGAGGUACAUAGCGAGGACUCCAACGUUAUGCGCCAGAGACAGAGCAGACACCGCUGCGCCGCGGUACUGUGAACUGCACAUCUAUGAACACAGAUUUUAUUUUGAUAAAAUUUGAAUUAUAACCUGAUAACAUAAGUAAUGCUUAAACCUUUGGAAAUUGGAGCUCGCUUUCCAUUGACCGAUAAAUUGAAAGAAGUAAAAUUAGGAAGUUAUCAACAUAAAAUUAAUAUGAAAUAAGAGAGAACUCAGUGUUACCCAAAAAAUAAUUUCGAUCGAGUAGGGCUACUUGGUCGGAAUUAUUUAAGAAAAUAUACGAAAUAUAACUAAUUUCCUGCAUCUAGGUUCUAUGCAUGACUAACCUCCCUGGCUAGAAGGGGCUCCAAGGCCCAGGCGGAGGCUCCACCUAAACCUGCCGCGAUCCUCGCAACCACCACCAGAGCCGCACCUACACCCGACCAUUCUGAGCCGCACCACAGACUCGCCAGCUUUAGAGUCCAGCACAGCUACAAAUUAAUACAGCUCGUGGCAUAUAGACUAUUUGAUUAGUGUUUAACAUUCGGUGAUUUUCUUCAGAGCAAAACGGUCAUACAUUCACAUUCGACACAGUAGUAUGUAUACAUCAUACCAACCGCGAAGCAAGCCGAAGUACCAAUGAGAGCAAACUUGCGUCCGUAGAGCAAAGCCCGCGCGCUCAAAGGGACGCCAGCCAUGGAGGCUCCGAAAGUGGUGACAGCAGCAAUGACGGCUCCCCUCCCCGAGGCCUCCGCCUCCUCCGCUGGAGCCUCUCCGCUCACCAAUGACACCCAGCCCAUGGCCAGACCAAACGACACGGUCGGUAUAUUGACUGUAAGCAGACGGUUGCAAAGACAAAUACAAUAAUAUAUUACAUGUAGGUACAUAAGCACUUAUUACAUCGAUCGAUGGAAUAUUAGUGCCCAUACAGGAUUCGACACGCGGCCGCACGACACGGCAGUUAGUUAGUUCAUAGUAAGUAAGUAAUAUUACAAAGUUGUAAUUAGUGAUUUUAUUUCCUUGUUGUAAUAACAGAAAUUAAGUGAAAAGAAAUUCGCAGGCUAUAUCAUCUAGGGCUACUUUGUUGAUCCAAAAGUAUUCGUAGAAUCAUGUAGAAUAAAACAUGUUCAUAUUGCACAUACAAAAAUUAGUAAAAAUGUUCGUUAGCAAAGUAUAAUAUAAUUACUAUAAAUAGCUAAUGAACACAGGAUUGUUUUUUUAUAAUUAUAAUAACAACUCAUUUAUGGAAAACAUAUUUAUUUUUAAUUUACAAGAUUUAAUAGGCGAUCUAUAAAUUUCCAAAAAUCCUAUUGAAACGUCACCUUUUUAAUAAUAAUAAAUAAUCAAACUUCAGCCCCUUAACACUUCCUAUCAGGAGUACUUAUUGAACUGUACGUCUGUUCCAAAGCAUUAACUGGCACUAUGAGGACAAAAAGCCCUUCUAAUAUGCAGUACUGGAUAUUUCGAGCUAGAAAAUUCAAACUAGAACCAAGACAAGUCUCCAACUUUUUCCAUAUGGACAUGUAAUUUUAGUCAUCAUUAUUUUGUAGUGUUUUAAGGACUAAAGUCUGAGUUUUUACCAGCUUUGAACAAACCAUUAAACUUAUUGAGGAAGAGGUCAUUAACAGAUUGUAAAUGUGAAGUCUCGACAGAAAGAGAUCGCCCGAAAGAAGAGAAUGUAUCUGUAACGUAUGUAAAGAGAUGAUCGGCUGCCUUCGACCGACCUCCAGAGAAUGUUACAUAAACCUUUUGUUCAGCCUUCAACUCCAAAACCUUUUAAAUUAAUAAGGUAUUAUUACUAUUUCUUUAAAAUUCUGGUCUGAAUCUCCGUAUGGCUAAGAAUUCUAUGUCUACUAAAAAAAAUUCCUCAACAAGUAUGUAUAUGAGCGACGUCAGAGGUUAUCCUAUAGCUAAUUAUUAUUAUUUAUAACUUUUCAAAACGCAAUAAAAACCGAACAAUUAAAACAGUUGUUAAAGUGAUGCGAAACUAUUUUUAAUUGGUGUAUGUAAUGUGUUUAGUUCUUAAUAAUGUUAUAAACGACCAAUAUUUAUAUCAACAUUAUACAAAUUAUAUUACCGAUUCAUAAA